Long non-coding RNA from Rhinopithecus roxellana (golden snub-nosed monkey), 2365 nucleotides. RefSeq lists it as uncharacterized. Lineage: Eukaryota; Metazoa; Chordata; Mammalia; Primates; Cercopithecidae. The transcript is spliced from 3 exons. The record is from RefSeq and is a predicted model, not a curated record.
CAAGGCUGUGAUAUAUGGAGGAAUGUGUUCUUUCAACAGAAACAGUCGGUUCAACAUCUAUCUCCUCCUCCUCUUCUGACCAAGGCUCCACACUAAAUGCUUCAUUCCCCAGCUGUCUUUGUGCACCCAUGUGGCCAUGUGGGUCCACUCUGGCCCAUGUGAUGUAAGUAGAAUUGUUGAGCAGCAGGACGUCCAAAAGGACUCCUUAAAAGGAGCCAAACUACUGAGUAUGGCUUUUUUUUUUUUUUUUUUUCCUGCUGCUUUGAAUGCAGCUGUGAUUGCAGGAACAAAGCUACUCUCUUGGGGCAUGAGGUGAUCUAGAAGAUACAACCACCUUCAGUCAAAGUGCCUGAGGGAAUGAUAGGAGAAGCUGGACUCUCUGAUAAGAUCACAGAUCCAGUGCACAGGGGAGGAUUGCCUGCCUUCAGAUUCCUUUCAUGUGAAAAGACAGACCUUUAUAUGUGUGAGCCUCUGUUAGCUUGUGUCUUCUGUUUUAUGCAGCCAAACUUAACCUUAACUGCCACACACCAUCUACUUAUAUUUCAUGAUGCUCUCUCUAAUCUCUUAGGUAAUUGUGUCCCCCCAGAAACCUAUGGAGAGCUGAAGGGGUUUUAGGAUCUUGGAAUCCACCCUCCUCCUUUGGUACAAGAGGACAAAAGCCAGAGAGCAGUGCGAUGGCUGAGCUACAUCCCUUAGCUCAAUUUCCAUUUGGAGUGGCUUCUGGAAGGCUGCAAUUGAAAUCCACCAGGGCCCAUUUCAAGGUGUUCCCAACAUCGCCUGGGAAAAAGGAGCCCGAAUGCGCUUCCCUGUGGAUGCAGAACUUCAGCGUGAGAGGGGCUAUGCCUGCUGCCUUGUGGCUGCAGAAGGAGAGAGAAGGAGCCUCUCCAAAAAGGGGUUACAGGAAAGCCCUGAGGCGAGAUACUCACUUCAGAGGGUUCAAGACAAGGACACUCACUUUGUUCUGUGCGGUGUGGAGACACGGGUGAGUGCUCCUCAGUGGCACCAACUGGUUCCCUGUUGUCCUCAGCUGCCAGUGCCCUGGGACAUGUCAUUUGGACAAAACACUUUUCCAUGUCCUGCCAUCCAUUCCACGGAGGCAGGAGAAAGGGGUCUGGAGGCAGGAACAUAAGGCCGAUUCACCCUGACUUUGGAGAACUAAAUCAAAUGGAAACUCUUGGGCUAUGACAGGAAAUAUCCUCUCCAUUUACACAGGGCGUCCACCGAGUACAUGACUUUGUCAUUUGACUUCAUCCUCUUCAUUUACAUAGGGUGCACACCAGGUAACCAAUGGAAACCUCUAGAGGGGAUUUGAACCCCAGAAACUUCAGUAACAGGCUCCCUGUGCUCAGGCGCUCCCACCCUGUGGAGUGUGCUUUCAUUUUGCGUCAGUCUCUGCUUUGCUGCUUCAUUCUUUCCUUACUCCAUUUUUGUGGUGUGUCCAAUUCUUGGUUCAAGGCAUCAAGAACUGGGACACCUUCAACCAGUAACAUUAUCUUAAUAUCUUGUUUUAAAACUGAAUUCUGCUUUUCAUCUGUUCACCUAGUUUUUAGAAGAUGACAAUGAAAUACAACUUGGAACUUACCACAGCUUAAUACGAGGGUCAAUAUGAGCUAUACAACAGGUUUGAUGUUUAAAAGUUGGCAACAUUUUUUAUUACUCUUUCAUUUACAAACUACAGUAAAUAUUUUAUUUUUUAUAUUUAAUUAUGAAAUAUAUGACACAUAAGAGUCUAUAAAAUUUGGGUGGGCACGGUGGCUCAUGCCUGUAAUCCCAGCAUUUUCGGAGGCUGAGGCGGGUGGAUCAUUUGAGGUCAGGUGUUCAAGACGAGCCUGGCCAAUAUGGUGAAACCCGUCUCUACUAAAAAAAUACAAAGAGUGAGCUGAGCAUCAUGACAGGUACCUGUGAUCCUAGCCACUCAGGAGGCUGAGGUGGGAGAGUUGUUUGCACCCAGGAGAGAGAAGUUGCAGUGAGCCGAGAUCGUGCCGUUACACUCUAGCCUGGGCUACCUGAGCAAAACUCCACCUCAAAAACAAAAAAAUAAACAAAACUGAAUGCAUAAUCCGAUAGAUUAAUAAUUGCACUGAUGUCAUCAUCCAUUAGCAUCGAGUGUCUUGAAAGGCUACAAUAUGCCCUUCCUUGAUCACCUGGAUCUCCCUUCUUCACCCAGACAUAGGACUAACGUGUUAAUGUUUGUCUUGCUUUUCAUAAGGUUUAUCAUUUCUGUGUAUAUUAUUAAGCAAUGUCAUAUAUAAUGGUUUGUGAACUGUAUAUGGAAUAGCAGUGUAUUUUUCAGCAAUUUCCUUUGUUCACUGUAAUUUUUCAUUGUUGAUGCUUCUAACCGCAGUUCAUUUUCACAGCUGUAUCA